UUAAAUCUAUUUUGCUUAUCUUCUAAAUUAUCCGAUUAACUUGCUGUAUUUAGUUAUAUUUAUGCGUUAUCUAACUCUUCGAUGAACUAAUAAAGAUCAUCGAAGGAACACGAGUCAAACACGCUUCAACGAAGUAAACGAUCCUUUCUUUAAAUUAAAAAAGAAAAAAAACAAGGCUAUGGCCAGGAGAGGAAGAGGAUCGAUACAUUUUGCUGUAUCUAGUUUAUUACGAGUAACUUUAGUAUGUGAGGUAGAUGGAUGCGUUGUUUUAAUGGUUCAUUAAAAAUUUAUUCGUUCCAUUUACUAAUACAGGAUUUAAAAGCUACUAGAUUAACUAGAAAUUUUAUUAAACCGGCGGACUUUUUGCCGUUUAGACCGGAUAAUCGAGCGUUUUUAAUAACAUUAAGAUUAUUCAAAACGAUUAAAAAAAAAAAGAAAAGAAAGAAAACGUGUAGCGUUGUACAGUACAUACACAGAGAUCAAACGCUUCAAAACUAUAGUGAGAAAUCCAGGGAGCAAUGAAUUAUAGAAAAAUUCGGUUCGGGGCAUCGUUUUAUGCUGAUAUCAAUGCUAUUGAGGCCGAUUAUAUCAGUUGAUAAAUUGAAAAGAUUACAGAAAUGAAGGCCUAUUAUAUCACUUGAAAAUGCUAAUAGGAAUCUAGAGAAGAAUUCAAUCCAAGACAAAUUAGAUUAAAUUUUUGUACUAUUAAGUUUUAUGAUCAAGCAGGUACAUUUGAUAAAUUACACACCUUCAGAUGAAUAAUAAAAUGAUAUGCAUCUGUCCAGGACUGUCGAGAGUGGGAAGCUAGGAUUUUUCCUAGUGCCCUAAAAAAACUUAGGGGCCCUUAG
Centruroides sculpturatus (bark scorpion) is the source of this 848-nucleotide long non-coding RNA. RefSeq lists it as uncharacterized. The record is from RefSeq and is a predicted model, not a curated record. The transcript has 3 exons. NCBI's taxonomy places the organism in Eukaryota, Metazoa, Arthropoda, Arachnida, Scorpiones, Buthidae.